GGCCUGCUGGCCCAAUGGUAAGGCGCUUGACUACGAACAUACGCAGGGAUCGAACCUGUAUGUGGACGCAUCAAGAGAUUGCAGGUUCGAGCCCUGCGUAGGUCA
This is a transfer RNA of Sclerotinia borealis F-4128, 105 nucleotides long. It matches the Rfam family "tRNA". Rfam says of the family: Transfer RNA (tRNA) molecules are approximately 80 nucleotides in length. Their secondary structure includes four short double-helical elements and three loops (D, anti-codon, and T loops). Lineage: Eukaryota; Fungi; Ascomycota; Leotiomycetes; Helotiales; Sclerotiniaceae. The record is from Rfam.